UACGUAGGGUGCGAGCGUUAAUCGGAAUUACUGGGCGUAAAGCGUGCGCAGGCGGUUUUGUAAGCCAGAUGUGAAAUCCCCGAGCUCAACUUGGGAACUGCCGUUGAUACUAUUUGUCUUGAAUACCGUGGAGGUGAGCGGAAUAUGUCAUGUAGCGGUGAAAUGCUUAGAUAUGACAUAGAACACCGAUUGCGAAGGCAGCUCACUACGCGGUCAUUGACGCUGAGGCACGAAAGCGUGGGGAGCAAACAGG
RNAcentral lists this ribosomal RNA (253 nucleotides) under uncultured bacterium. Its description in RNAcentral is "partial 16S ribosomal RNA". It matches the Rfam family "Bacterial small subunit ribosomal RNA", at positions 524 to 776 of the family's 1533-position model. The record is from RNAcentral.